This 103-nucleotide transfer RNA is filed under the name Mycoplana azooxidifex. Its description in RNAcentral is "Rhizobium azooxidifex tRNA-OTHER". Lineage: Bacteria; Pseudomonadati; Pseudomonadota; Alphaproteobacteria; Hyphomicrobiales; Rhizobiaceae. The record is from RNAcentral.
GGCGCAAAUUUGGCGCAAAUCCACCGCAACAGACUGAAAAUCAGGACUUGGCAAAAUCCUUUUAAUCAGUAGGUCCAGGGUUCGAAUCCCUGCGCGCUCACCA